This 374-nucleotide ribosomal RNA is filed under the name uncultured organism. RNAcentral's name for it is "partial 16S ribosomal RNA". It matches the Rfam family "Bacterial small subunit ribosomal RNA", at positions 527 to 896 of the family's 1533-position model. The record is from RNAcentral.
GUAGGUGGCAAGCGUCGUCCGGAAUUAUUGGGCGUAAAGCGCGCGCAGGCGGUUCUUUAAGUCUGAUGUGAAAGCCCACGGCUCAACCGUGGAGGGUCAUUGGAAACUGGAGAACUUGAGUACAGAAGAGGAAAGCGGAAUUCCACGUGUAGCGGUGAAAUGCGUAGAGAUGUGGAGGAACACCAGUGGCGAAGGCGGCUUUCUGGUCUGUAACUGACGCUGAGGCGCGAAAGCGUGGGGAGCAAACAGGAUUAGAUACCCUGGUAGUCCACGCCGUAAACGAUGAGUGCUAAGUGUUAGGGGGGUUUUCCGCCCCCCUUAGUGCUGCAGCUAACGCAUUAAGCACUCCGCCUGGGAGUACGGCCGCAAGGCUG